This is a small nuclear RNA of Zalophus californianus (California sea lion), 104 nucleotides long. Lineage: Eukaryota; Metazoa; Chordata; Mammalia; Carnivora; Otariidae. The record is from Ensembl.
GGCCUCUCUUCGGCAGCACAUAUACUAAAGUUGGAACAGUAAAGAGAUGAUUUGCAAGGCACCUGCAUAAGGAUCACACGCAAAUACAAAGUUUGAUCGCUUUU